UAAUACGUAGGGGGCGAGCGUUGUCCGGAAUCAUUGGGCGUAAAGCGCGUGUAGGCGGCUUGCCAAGUCCGGUGUGAAAUCUCGGGGCUCAACCCCGAAACUGCAUUGGAAACUGGCUUGCUAGAGUCCGGAAGAGGAGAGUGGAAUUCCUGGUGUAGCGGUGAAAUGCGCAGAUAUCAGGAAGAACACCGGUGGCGAAGGCGGCUCUCUGGGACGGUACUGACGCUGAGACGCGAAAGCGUGGGUAGCGAACAGG
This 256-nucleotide ribosomal RNA is filed under the name uncultured bacterium. Its description in RNAcentral is "partial 16S ribosomal RNA". It matches the Rfam family "Bacterial small subunit ribosomal RNA", at positions 521 to 776 of the family's 1533-position model. The record is from RNAcentral.